AACUUUUAACACAUUUAUGAUGGUCAAGCCAAAAUUACUGAAUUGGGAUGACAUCCACCCCUAGUUGUUGCAACUCUUUCCGGUAGUCAAACUUGAGCCCGUCCUAAUAGAGAUGUUAUUUGGUAACGUAAUACCCCAUCUAUGAUAUGACGGCAUUUGAUUUAGAAUUAAAGAAUUACUAAAUAUAUUAAUGUAUCAUUCAUUUUUCAAUCAACCAAAAAGUAAAUAGUAUUGUAUAAAAUGAAAAAAUAAGUUGAAGUAUUUUACUCUUUGGGAGCUUUUUUCAGCUUGUUCGUUCUCCUUAAGAUGUAUGUUAUGUUCCCAUCCCUUUAGGACAAGUAUAAUAUCUCAGGUAAAUACUUAUCCACACCGGAUAUUUAUAUCAACUUAUAUAAACUCAUCAUAGUUAAGUAAUUUAAUAAGAGUGUUAAUUAAAAGUUUAUGUACAAACACAUAUCUUGCAUUUAUUAGCUUGGUGUAAACAUCGGGUAUAGGUAAACUCUUACCCAUAUAUUACAUAUGAAUAUUCAAUACUAUCAGUAACUCAAACCAUUUUUUAUCCGUAUAAGUUUUCAACCCAACCAUAUUUGUUCUGAACACCCCCCCCCCCCCUCAAAAAAAAAAACCCCCUAUUUUCCAGCAUUAUAUAUACAUAUCAAAGGGGCUCUUGUUAUACAUCUUAGUUUCCAAUGUUUAUCUUCAUUGCGUUUAUGCCCAAUCAUUGUAGGUCUCGCAAGUGGAUAGGAUUGAAUGUGAAGCGCAGCCAAGGAUGACUUGCCGCUAUAUCUCUUCUCUUCAUUCACCAUUUUCACAGAAAAUUAAAGAAUGAGAAUAGAGAAAACAUCAAAAGUACCAUAAAGGAUGUGGUGAGGCGGAUGGAGUUGCUCCUCCCUUAGCCAGAGGUAUGGAGUUCGAGUCUUGGGCAUGAAAAACCCUUGGUAGGGAGCGCUUCCCCCUGAAUGGUCCUACACAGCGUGAAUCCAAAUAUAGUCGGGCUCCAAUAUGGGUACCGGCCGGGUGGAAUCGAAAAAAGAGAAAAAAAAAACAUCAAAAGUAGAAAAGAAAAUGGACUUCUUAUUUAUUUGAGAAAAUCGGCAAGUUAUCUUUGGCUAGGGUUUCUUUCUCAUAUUCACAUGUUGGAUCUACGAUGAAUAUGAGGAGUACGGCUCGAUCAGGCCUUACUCACUCAACAAGGACAGAAACUUCACUCACCGAGGAAAGAAAAUUAGGUAAGUGCCAAUCCUUGUUCUAAAAGUUAUUCGUGCUUAGUUAAAGGUCUCAUGUGGCUGCGAGUCUUUUAAUCCCUCAUAUGUUACAUUCAUUAGUAUCCGCUACGAAAAAGCCUGAAUUUCCAACAGGCUUUUUCUCGGAAAUCUCAUAUUUUCUACAGUGUUCCAACAGGAAAGAUCAUCAAAAAUUUGUGUUAUUUAAUAGUGAUGUACGUCUACUCGUAGCAAUAAUAAUAUAUAAGAAUCUUCUGAGGAUAUCAAAAUUUAUGGUUUGAUUUA
Molecule: long non-coding RNA, 1508 nt
Organism: Lycium ferocissimum
Lineage: Eukaryota; Viridiplantae; Streptophyta; Magnoliopsida; Solanales; Solanaceae
Exons: 2
Source: RefSeq, a predicted model, not a curated record